This 396-nucleotide ribosomal RNA is filed under the name uncultured bacterium. Its description in RNAcentral is "partial 16S ribosomal RNA". It matches the Rfam family "Bacterial small subunit ribosomal RNA", at positions 523 to 918 of the family's 1533-position model. The record is from RNAcentral.
AUACGUAGGGGGCGAGCGUUGUCCGGAAUGAUUGGGCGUAAAGGGCGCGUAGGCGGCCCGGUAAGUCUGGAGUGAAAGUCCUGCUUUUAAGAUGGGAAUUGCUUUGGAUACUGUCGGGCUUGAGUGCAGGAGAGGUGAGUGGAAUUCCCAGUGUAGCGGUGAAAUGCGUAGAGAUUGGGAGGAACACCAGUGGCGAAGGCGACUUACUGGACUGUAACUGACGCUGAGGCGCGAAAGUGUGGGGAGCAAACAGGAUUAGAUACCCUGGUAGUCCACACUGUAAACGAUGAAUACUAGGUGUGCGGGGACUGACCCCCUGCGUGCCGGCGUUAACACAAUAAGUAUUCCACCUGGGGAGUACGAUCGCAAGGUUGAAACUCAAAUGAAUUGACGGGG